This is a long non-coding RNA of Astatotilapia calliptera (eastern happy), 1243 nucleotides long. NCBI's taxonomy places the organism in Eukaryota, Metazoa, Chordata, Actinopteri, Cichliformes, Cichlidae. The record is from Ensembl.
GCUAAAGCGUUUAAGUUUCAAAAUAGAACAAACGAAACAGACUAAAUUGUCAAUUCCACUUAGAAACAAAAUAUUAAUUCUAAAAAUAAAUCUUAGUUUGUUUUACAGAAGAACAGACAAAAUUGACUAACUUUUGUCAAUAUCAAAUAAACUGAGAACUAAAAGGAAAUUCUCAAUCUCUCCUUGUUGUAUAGCUUAGCUUUUCAAACAGUUUUAACAGUUACUUUAGUCUGACAAAAGCCGAAUGACGAAUUAGCGCUACCAGUCAGAGAUUGAGCAUGCACCGGUUUAUUGUAUUUCCAGACUUGCUUUCGGCACAAUUUAUAGUGCGCGCUACUCUUUUUGUCAGACUUGAAAUAGCCGAAAUACCUUCACACUACGGAACUUCUAUGGCUCUUCCGUUCAACAAUCUCUCCGGCAUUGGAACCAUCAUCGGUUUUUUCUUCGGUAACCUUCGCUCACGCUCUCGGUUGAUUUUUCUCUAGUCGGCACACUCAUUUCCUCCGUUACCCGGGCGGCACGGCGGCUGGCUGCUUCCCAAAACAAAUACACAUGUGUGGCUUGGCACUUGUGCUGUACGUAACAAGUCACGUGACGUGACGCUGCAGCUGUGAUUGGUUCGGCUCUGCACUACUUAAUUUGGAUUGGCUGUUCUUCCUCUUCUUUUUUUUUUUUUUUUUUUUUUUUUAAGAGGACAAGAGCGGUGAGGUCUAUUGCAAUAGUUUAAUUUUUCUAUCGAGAAAAAGUUAUUUCGCAAUACAUAUCGUUAUAUCGCCCAGCUCUACUUAUACCCCCGACUGAGUUUACUGAUGUUGUGGAAUAGGGCUGUUCGAUAUAAUGAUAUAUAUCGGAUGACGAUAUAAAAAUAUCUAUUGUUUCAUUUUAUGCUAUUGUUUGUUUCGUGGUGUCGCAAAAUAAACUGUUCAUGGCAAUAUUUUUUCAUCGUUUUGAUGGUCACUGUAGUGGCUAUCUUAAUUUCUUAAAGUUCUCUCUUUCUCUUAUAUUUAAGCCCUAUUGUGGAAUGUAAUCCUGGCAUUAUUCCUGACUUCACACCACAAGAUUUAUAUCAUUAUGUUAUCAACAAUAACACACAUUAUAUUUGACAAGAUAUGAAGGCCUACAAAAGUUUGAAUGCUUAUCAGUAUUUUGUGGAAAGAUGGGUAACAAACCCAAGUCACUGGACUUUGCCUGGAACUGUAAUCACUGGCUCAAGUGGGCCACAGUCACUGCUCAGGUAUUUUCC